This 440-nucleotide ribosomal RNA is filed under the name uncultured bacterium. RNAcentral describes it as "partial 16S ribosomal RNA". It matches the Rfam family "Bacterial small subunit ribosomal RNA", at positions 338 to 795 of the family's 1533-position model. The record is from RNAcentral.
CCUACGGGUGGCAGCAGUGGGGGAUAUUGCACAAUGGGGGGAACCCUGAUGCAGCGACGUCGCGUGGGUGAAGAAGCGCCUCGGCGCGUAAAGCCCUGUCAGCAGGGAAGAAAAUGACGGCACCUGAAGAAGAAGCCACGGCUAACUACGGGCCAGCAGCCGCGGUAAUACGUCGGGGGCAAGCGUUAUCCGGAUUUACUGGGGGUAAAGGGGGCGCAGACGGCGAUGCAAGCCAGGAGUGAAAGCCCGGGGUCCAACCCCGGGACUGCACUUGGAACUGCGUGGCUGGAGUGCAGGAGGGGCAGGCGGAAUUCGUGGUGUAGCGGUGAAAUGCGUAGAGAUCAGGAAGAACACCGAUGGCGAAGGCAGCCUGCUGGACUGCAACUGACGUUGAGGCCCGAAAGCGUGGGGAGCAAACAGGAUUAGAUACCCCAGUAGUC